Molecule: long non-coding RNA, 1056 nt
Filed under: Bos taurus (domestic cattle)
Lineage: Eukaryota; Metazoa; Chordata; Mammalia; Artiodactyla; Bovidae
Description: long non-coding RNA NONBTAT010646
Source: RNAcentral
GGUGCAUUUCUCUACUGUAUCCUACUUUUUCUUUUACUCUUUUUGGCAUAAUUAUAUCUAGGUGACGUGGAGCAGAAACCUUUGCUUAAAGUUGUAGUAUUUUUCACCUACCCUGAACAUUAACUGACUCAAUAGAGAGCAGCAAGCUAGUAGCUGGUAGAAGACAGGAGAGAAAGAGACUGAGCUCCACUAGGGAAAGUGUAGGACAGUGGCAUUAGUUCAGAUACUAGAAAUGAGUAUUUUAUCCAGUCUGGCACAGAGUCAAGAAAGCACAAAACUUUCAGUUUAAUUCUAUUCAAAUCAUGGCUUUGAAUAUGACAUGUCAAGACAGUACAGUUCAAUGAAGAUGAAGACAUAUGUGUGUCCUUCUCUUGGGGCAGUCAUUUUGGGCAGUGAAGGUGCUCUGUAGAAGGAACUUUAAAAUUUUUCCUUUGUUCUGAUACUCCAAAUGGUUAAAAAUAAGUGCAGUUAUAUUGAAAACACCCCACAGGAAGAAUUCCAGGAAGGAUGCGUGAAAGGAUUGAAUCAUGAAUUGCUUUACCUGUAUCUUAUAUCUUCUUACUAACCUUUCAAUAUUAUUUUGCAAGCAAAAAUUGACACCCAAAUAUCAAGAAGUGAUUUUUUUUUUCAAGUGUCACAUUACCGAACAGAAGCUUAAAUGAUUAGUAAACGUUCAGAUUUGAGAACAAAGCGGCUCUAUUUCUAUAGCAUUCUUAAGUCCCUGCAGGACAGUGAAUUCCAACAACCUGGCCUCACAGUGACUUCCUCUGGAGCAGAAUGAAACAGCAGGCCAUAAAGCACAGAGUCUUGACUUGCUGGGUGAAGGUCACUUCGAUGCCUUUUGGGAGAUAUUUCAACCACACUAAAACCGGUAAAGUAAAAAUCAAAAUGUUUGAGGGGCAGCAGCAAUAGGGCAAUCAUUCCCUUUUCUAUCUUUUCAUAGCAUCAGCGUGACAAAUCUCUUACAGUGAAAAUAACUCUGAAUUGCCCACAGCUGCCAGGUGAGAAGACAGACAGUGCAGCUUUGGUUUCGGGCGGAUGAACAGGUAAAAGGGU